This 253-nucleotide ribosomal RNA is filed under the name uncultured bacterium. RNAcentral describes it as "partial 16S ribosomal RNA". It matches the Rfam family "Bacterial small subunit ribosomal RNA", at positions 524 to 776 of the family's 1533-position model. The record is from RNAcentral.
GACGUAGGGGGCCAGCGUUGUUCGGAAUUACUGGGUGUAAAGGGUUCGUAGGCGGUGUGGUAAGUCGGGAGUGAAAUUUCUGGGCUCAACUCAGAGACUGCUUCCGAAACUGCUGUGCUUGAGUGUGGGAGAGGCGCGUGGAAUUGCAGGUGUAGCGGUGAAAUGCGUAGAUAUCUGCAGGAACACCCGUGGCGAAAGCGGCGCGCUGGACCACUACUGACGCUGAGGAACGAAAGCUAGGGGAGCAAACAGG